RNAcentral lists this ribosomal RNA (906 nucleotides) under uncultured Pelotomaculum sp. RNAcentral's name for it is "SSU rRNA". It matches the Rfam family "Bacterial small subunit ribosomal RNA", at positions 8 to 916 of the family's 1533-position model. The record is from RNAcentral. Lineage: Bacteria; Bacillati; Bacillota; Clostridia; Eubacteriales; Desulfotomaculaceae.
AGAGUUUGAUCCUGGCUCAGGACGAACGCUGGCGGCGUGCUUAACACAUGCAAGUCGAACGGAGGUUACUUUGAAACUUAGUGAUAAGUAACUUAGUGGCGGACGGGUGAGUAACGCGUGGAUAACCUGCCUACAUGCCUGGGACAACACCGGGAAACUGGUGCUAAUACCGGAUACGCUUUUGAGAGCACAUGCUUUUAAGAGGAAAGGAGCAAUCCGCAUAUAGAUGGGUCCGCGUCCCAUUAGCUAGUUGGGGGUGUAACAGACCACCAAGGGCGACGAUGGGUAGCCGGCCUGAGAGGGUGGACGGCCACACUGGAACUGAGACCACGGUCCAGACUCCUACGGGAGGCAGCAGUGGGGAAUCUUCCGCAAUGGGCGCAAGCCUGACGGAGCAACGCCGCGUGAGUGAAGAAGGCCUUCGGGUUGUAAAGCUCUGUCUUCAGGGAAGAAAAAAAUGACGGUACCUGAGGAGGAAGCCCCGGCUAACUACGUGCCAGCAGCCGCGGUAAAACGUAGGGGGCGAGCGUUGUCCGGAAUUACUGGGCGUAAAGGGCGCGUAGGCGGUUAUUUAAGUCAGAGGUGAAAACUACCGGCUCAACCGGUAGCCUGCCUUUGAAACUGGAUGACUUGAGGGCAGGAGAGGGGAGUGGAAUUCCCAGUGUAGCGGUGAAAUGCGUAUAUAUUGGGAGGAACACCAGUGGCGAAGGCGGCUCUCUGGCCUGUUUCUGACGCUGAGGCGCGAAAGCGUGGGGAGCGAACGGGAUUAGAUACCCCGGUAGUCCACGCCGUAAACGAUGGGUGCUAGGUGUAGGAGGUAUCGACCCCUUCUGUGCCGUAGUUAACACAAUAAGCACCCCGCCUGGGGAGUACGGCCGCAAGGUUGAAACUCAAAGGAAUUGACGG